UUUGAGGGGAAUGUUGUCUGGCUCGAGGCCACCAACUAGAUCUAUGAUUCCAUGUAUUUCAAUUGAUAAAAUUUUCCCUAGGGAUCAUUUUCUUGGUUGAGAUUAUGAUCUUUGAUCAUAAGUUUGUGACGUCGGACCAGGCUUCAUUCCCCCCAAU
This 157-nucleotide microRNA precursor is filed under the name Corchorus olitorius. Its description in RNAcentral is "mir-166 microRNA precursor family". It matches the Rfam family "mir-166 microRNA precursor family". Rfam says of the family: This family represents the plant microRNA (miRNA) precursor mir-166. The record is from Rfam by way of RNAcentral. Lineage: Eukaryota; Viridiplantae; Streptophyta; Magnoliopsida; Malvales; Malvaceae.